Molecule: ribosomal RNA, 253 nt
Filed under: uncultured bacterium
Lineage: Bacteria
Description: partial 16S ribosomal RNA
Rfam family: Bacterial small subunit ribosomal RNA
Source: RNAcentral
UACGGAGGGCGCAAGCGUUACUCGGAAUCACUGGGCGUAAAGAGCGUGUAGGCGGGUUAAUAAGUCAGAUGUGAAAGCCAAUAGCUCAACUAUUGAACUGCAUUUGAAACUGUAAACCUAGAGUAUGGGAGAGGUAGAUGGAAUUUCUGGUGUAGGGGUAAAAUCCGUAGAGAUCAGAAGGAAUACCGAUUGCGAAGGCGAUCUACUGGAACAUUACUGACGCUGAGACGCGAAAGCGUGGGGAGCAAACAGG